This 492-nucleotide ribosomal RNA is filed under the name uncultured bacterium. RNAcentral describes it as "partial 16S ribosomal RNA". It matches the Rfam family "Bacterial small subunit ribosomal RNA", at positions 29 to 507 of the family's 1533-position model. The record is from RNAcentral.
AGUGAACGCUGGCGGUAGGCCUAACACAUGCAAGUCGAACGGCAGCACAGUAAGAGCUUGCUCUUACGGGUGGCGAGUGGCGGACGGGUGAGGAAUACAUCGGAACCUACUUUUUCGUGGGGGAUAACGUAGGGAAACUUACGCUAAUACCGCAUACGACCUACGGGUGAAAGCAGGGGAUCUUCGGACCUUGCGCGAUUGAAUGAGCCGAUGUCGGAUUAGCUAGUUGGCGGGGUGAAGGCCCACCAAGGCGACGAUCCGUAGCUGGUCUGAGAGGAUGAUCAGCCACACUGGAACUGAGACACGGUCCAGACUCCUACGGGAGGCAGCAGUGGGGAAUAUUGGACAAUGGGCGCAAGCCUGAUCCAGCCAUACCGCGUGGGUGAAGAAGGCCUUCGGGUUGUAAAGCCCUUUUGUUGGGAAAGAAAAGCAGCAGGUUAAUACCCCGCUGUUCUGACGGUACCCAAAGAAUAAGCACCGGCUAACUUCGUG